This 89-nucleotide transfer RNA is filed under the name Acrocarpospora pleiomorpha. RNAcentral describes it as "tRNA-Cys". The record is from RNAcentral. Lineage: Bacteria; Bacillati; Actinomycetota; Actinomycetes; Streptosporangiales; Streptosporangiaceae.
AGCCGCGUGGUGCACGGCACCGCCCUGUCGCUGCAGUCGACGCUGGCGGCGGUGGCCAUAGCCCUGGUGCUCGGCUCGGCGCUCGGCCU